RNAcentral lists this ribosomal RNA (262 nucleotides) under Xanthomonas citri pv. citri. RNAcentral's name for it is "partial 16S ribosomal RNA". It matches the Rfam family "Bacterial small subunit ribosomal RNA", at positions 626 to 887 of the family's 1533-position model. Lineage: Bacteria; Pseudomonadati; Pseudomonadota; Gammaproteobacteria; Lysobacterales; Lysobacteraceae. The record is from RNAcentral.
UCUGAUACUGGCAAGCUUGAGUCUCGUAGAGGGGGGUAGAAUUCCAGGUGUAGCGGUGAAAUGCGUAGAGAUCUGGAGGAAUACCGGUGGCGAAGGCGGCCCCCUGGACGAAGACUGACGCUCAGGUGCGAAAGCGUGGGGAGCAAACAGGAUUAGAUACCCUGGUAGUCCACGCCGUAAACGAUGUCGACUUGGAGGUUGUGCCCUUGAGGCGUGGCUUCCGGAGCUAACGCGUUAAGUCGACCGCCUGGGGAGUACGGCC